CGAACAGGACCGUGAAACGACUCAGCGCCGAUGAUAGUGUGGAUACCCAUGUGAAAGUAGGUCACUGCCAGGC
Molecule: ribosomal RNA, 73 nt
Filed under: Uruburuella suis
Lineage: Bacteria; Pseudomonadati; Pseudomonadota; Betaproteobacteria; Neisseriales; Neisseriaceae
Source: RNAcentral